This 253-nucleotide ribosomal RNA is filed under the name uncultured bacterium. RNAcentral describes it as "partial 16S ribosomal RNA". It matches the Rfam family "Bacterial small subunit ribosomal RNA", at positions 524 to 776 of the family's 1533-position model. The record is from RNAcentral.
CACGUAGGGCGCAAGCGUUGUCCGGAAUUAUUGGGCGUAAAGAGCUCGUAGGCGGUCUGUUGCGUCCGCUGUGAAAACUCGGGGCUUAACCCCGAGCCUGCAGUGGAUACGGGCAGACUAGAGGUAGGUAGGGGAGAAUGGAAUUCCCGGUGUAGCGGUGAAAUGCGCAGAUAUCAGGAGGAACACCAAUAGCGAAGGCAGCUCGCUGGGACGGUACUGACGCUAAGGCGCGAAAGCGUGGGGAGCAAACAGG